Molecule: ribosomal RNA, 436 nt
Filed under: uncultured Burkholderia sp.
Lineage: Bacteria; Pseudomonadati; Pseudomonadota; Betaproteobacteria; Burkholderiales; Burkholderiaceae
Description: bacterial SSU rRNA
Rfam family: Bacterial small subunit ribosomal RNA
Source: RNAcentral
AAUAAGCACCGGCUAACUCCGUGCCAGCAGCCGCGGUAAUACGUAGGGUGCAAGCGUUAAUCGGAAUUACUGGGCGUAAAGCGUGCGCAGGCGGUUUGUUAAGACCGAUGUGAAAUCCCCGGGCUAAACCUGGGAACUGCAUUGUUGACUGGCAGGCUUUGAGUUUGGCAAAAGGGGGUAAAAUUCCCCGUGUAGCAAUGAAAUGCGUAAAAAUUUGAAAGAAUUCCGAUGGCGAAGGGAACCCCCUGGGCCCAUACUGAAACUCAUGCCCGAAAGCGUGGGAAGCAAACAGGAUUAGAUACCCUGGUAAUCCACGCCCUAAACGAUGUCAACUAAUUGUUGGGGAUUCAUUUCCUUUAUUAACGGAGCUUACCCCUGAAAUUUACCCCCUGGGGAAUUCGGCCCCAAGAUUAAAACUCAAAGGAAUUGACGGGGG